GAUGAACGCUGGCGGCGUGCUUAACACAUGCAAGUCGAACGAAGCACUCUAUUUGAUUUUCUUCGGAAAUGAAGAUUUUGUGACUGAGUGGCGGACGGGUGAGUAACGCGUGGGUAACCUGCCUCAUACAGGGGGAUAACAGUUGGAAACGACUGCUAAUACCGCAUAAGCGCACAGCAUCGCAUGGUGCAGUGUGAAAAACUCCGGUGGUAUGAGAUGGACCCGCGUCUGAUUAGCUAGUUGGUGGGGUAACGGCCCACCAAGGCGACGAUCAGUAGCCGGACUGAGAGGUUGAACGGCCACAUUGGAACUGAGACACGGUCCAAAACUCCUACGGGAGCAGCAGUGAGGAAUAUUGGUCAAUGGGCGCAAGCCUGAACCAGCCAAGUAGCGUGAGGGAAGACUGCCCUACGGGUUGUAAACUGCUUUUAUAAGGG
Molecule: ribosomal RNA, 437 nt
Filed under: uncultured bacterium
Lineage: Bacteria
Description: bacterial SSU rRNA
Rfam family: Bacterial small subunit ribosomal RNA
Source: RNAcentral